Molecule: ribosomal RNA, 392 nt
Filed under: uncultured bacterium
Lineage: Bacteria
Description: partial 16S ribosomal RNA
Rfam family: Bacterial small subunit ribosomal RNA
Source: RNAcentral
AUACGGAGGAUCCGAGCGUUAACCGGAUUUAUUGGGUUUAAAGGGUGCGCAGGCGGCCAUUUAAGUCAGCGGUUAAAUCGUGGGGCUCAACCCCAUUCUGCCUUUGAUACUGCCGUUCUUGAGUACAGUUGAGGUAGGCGGAAUGUGGUGUGUAGCGGUGAAAUGCAUAGAUAUACCACAGAACGCCGAUUGCGAAGGCAGCUUACUAAGCUGUUACUGACGCUGAGGCACGAAAGCGUGGGGAUCAAACAGGAUUAGAUACCCUGGUAGUCCACGCUGUAAACGAUGAUUACUGGUUGUUAGCGAUAUAUAGCUAGUGACUGAGCGAAAGCAUUAAGUAAUCCACCUGGGGAGUACGUCGGCAACGAUGAAACUCAAAUGAAUUGGCGGGG